GGGGGCCCUUUGGAGCCGGCUGGAGCUGGCUCUGAUCUGACCUGGGGCAGCUCUUGGGCUCUGCUCACAGAGGCCACCCCUGCAGCCCGUCUUUGAAUUUGGGCAUAAGGAGCAUCUGUGGCCCAUAAAUUCAGGACUGGUGUUUUAAACGUUCUUGACUCUGUCUCUGGAGCGUGAGAUCGCUACUCACUGUUGCAGAGGUGAAUGAAAAAAAAAAAAAGUCCUGUCUGCCUCAAGAGGCCUCAUCUCUAAUGAGCUGCCGGACCUCAAGGCUCCUGAUUUACCUGCAUCAAACUGCAUCCUUCUCCCAAGCAGCACCUGCUGCCAGGCCAUCCCUGUGGGUUCUCCCUCACUGCCCCACAGCUUCCCCAGCCCCUCUCUGUCCAGUCAAGAAGUGACAGCCAGGCCUUGGGCUGCUGGCACAGCACACUUGUGCCCUGCUAGCUCUGCAGGCCUGCAAAGGUAGCGUCUGCUGGGUGGCCUGCAGCAAGCACGCUGCUCCUGGGCCUGCCGGCUCCUGGUGGAUAACUGGGGACCUGCCCGCACACUGUGCUCCUGGCCUUUAACACCUUCACGUCAUUGCCUUAUAUGAGCUUGUUGCCCGGUCAGUGGAGCUGCUACAAUUUGGACUUCAGAAGCAACCCCUACCAGGAUUAGCACUGGGGAAAG
This is a long non-coding RNA of Cygnus olor (mute swan), 669 nucleotides long. RefSeq lists it as uncharacterized. The transcript has 2 exons. Lineage: Eukaryota; Metazoa; Chordata; Aves; Anseriformes; Anatidae. The record is from RefSeq and is a predicted model, not a curated record.